GACGAACGCUGGCGGCGUGCUUAACACAUGCAAGUCGAACGGAAAGGCCCUGCUUGCAGGGUACUCGAGUGGCGAACGGGUGAGUAACACGUGGGUGAUCUGCCCUGCACUUCGGGAUAAGCCUGGGAAACUGGGUCUAAUACCGGAUAGGAGCCAUUUUUAGUGUGAUGGUUGGAAAGUUUUUUCGGUGUAGGAUGAGCUCGCGGCCUAUCAGCUUGUUGGUGGGGUAAUGGCCUACCAAGGCGGCGACGGGUAGCCGGCCUGAGAGGGUGGACGGCCACAUUGGGACUGAGAUACGGCCCAGACUCCUACGGGAGGCAGCAGUGGGGAAUAUUGCACAAUGGGCGCAAGCCUGAUGCAGCGACGCCGCGUGGGGGAUGACGGCCUUCGGGUUGUAAAAUCCAUUCGCUAGGGACGAAGCUUUUUGUGACGGUACCUAGAUAAGAAGCACCGGCUAACUACGUG
Molecule: ribosomal RNA, 465 nt
Filed under: uncultured bacterium
Lineage: Bacteria
Description: partial 16S ribosomal RNA
Rfam family: Bacterial small subunit ribosomal RNA
Source: RNAcentral